Molecule: ribosomal RNA, 156 nt
Organism: Capsicum annuum
Lineage: Eukaryota; Viridiplantae; Streptophyta; Magnoliopsida; Solanales; Solanaceae
Product: 5.8S ribosomal RNA
Exons: 1
Source: RefSeq, a predicted model, not a curated record
GACUCUCGGUAAUGGAUAUCUCAGCUCUUGCAUCGAUGAAGAAUAUAGCGUAAUGUGAUACUUGGUGUGAAUUGCAGAAUCUCAUGAACCAUCGAGUCUUUGAACGUAAGUUACGCCCGAAGCCAUUAGGCCGAGUGCACGUUGGCCUGGGCGUCA